Suricata suricatta (meerkat) is the source of this 1101-nucleotide long non-coding RNA. RefSeq lists it as uncharacterized. Lineage: Eukaryota; Metazoa; Chordata; Mammalia; Carnivora; Herpestidae. The record is from RefSeq and is a predicted model, not a curated record. The transcript has 5 exons.
CAGAUAAUUUAGCGCCCGCCUUCCUGGCUCAGGAACGCCGAGGGAAGAGGGGUCCAAUCCUCCGAGGGGCAAGCAGGGAAGAGGAAGGGUGACAGGUAAACGGACUCCUCACCCACUCCUCAACAACUCCCUGACGAGAAAGCGACAAGGGCACCCUGCGACAGCAAUACUCACUGCCGGACAACGGUCAGCGCGAAGCGUGUCAUUUUCCUGGCUCCCGAAAGGAGAAGUGGUAGCCCCAGUCCGGCUCGCGCGACCAGCACCCUCCGGCGCGAGGCUUCGCCGCACUGCGGGACACCUCGCCCACACCACUUCCGCCAAGCUCAGCCGGCCGGCCGGCUCCGCCGCCAUAGGCCGAGGCGGCCAUCUACGUCAUUCCCGGAAGGCCAGUCAGGGAGGCGAGAGGCCGACAGGGCGACGGAGACUGCUUUCAGGUCUUGAGAGAGUUACUUAACCUCGCUCUCAAUUACGUGAUAAGUUAAAUGGGAUAACAGAUGAAGAAAUUAAGGGAUAUAGAGGCUAACUAAUUUCCCAUCCAUCAAGAUCUCAAAACUGAGUUUGACCCCCAUAAUCUCUAUGUCCAACAUGGGGUGCAAACUCAUGACCCUGAGAUCAAGAGUCACACGCUCUUCCAACUUAACAAGCCAGGUGCUCCUGAAUGAUUGCUUAUAGAAUAUCUAAGGCAUCAAGACCUUCCAGAAAGUAUUAACCAAGAUGCCCAGAGGCUCAUUGAACUGAGCCAUGAAUGGAAAGCUGCAGAAGCCCCAAGUUCUCCCACUACUUCAACACCUCCCCUGCUGGGUGACCCUGACCUAAAAGCAUCAAGGACCCUUGCAGGGCCCUCUCCCAGCUCCUGCAUCCCAGAUCUAAAAAUCUUACCGGUGCAUCUUCUCACAGGGUCACUGAGGUACCACGAAAAUGAAAAGAAACUACAAAAACAAACAGAAAAAGCUGAUUUGGAACCCUGUCCACCUGGCCCACCUGCAGACCUCAGUGUCAACUGAGCACAGGGGUCUCAAAGGAUUUUCAAAAUCUGGCCCAGCCCCUGGUUAUUUGAUAACUAAAAACCCAUAAAGAGAGAAAGGCAAUUAUGAAGGCUCA